AUUGAACGCUGGCGGCAUGCCUUACACAUGCAAGUCGAACGGUAACAGGUCUUCGGAUGCUGACGAGUGGCGAACGGGUGAGUAAUACAUCGGAACGUGCCUAGUAGUGGGGGAUAACUACUCGAAAGAGUGGCUAAUACCGCAUGAGAUCUACGGAUGAAAGCAGGGGAUCGCAAGACCUUGCGCUACUAGAGCGGCCGAUGGCAGAUUAGGUAGUUGGUGGGAUAAAAGCUUACCAAGCCGACGAUCUGUAGCUGGUCUGAGAGGACGAUCAGCCACACUGGGACUGAGACACGGCCCAGACUCCUACGGGAGGCAGCAGCGGGGAAUUUUGGACAAUGGGCGCAAGCCUGAUCCAGCAAUGCCGCGUGCAGGAUGAAGGCCUUCGGGUUGUAAACUGCUUUUGUACGGAACGAAAAGCCCCGGGUUAAUACCCUGGGGUCAUGACGGUACCGUAAGAAUAAGCACCGGCUAACUACGUGCCAGCAGCCGCCGUAA
This 498-nucleotide ribosomal RNA is filed under the name uncultured bacterium. RNAcentral describes it as "partial 16S ribosomal RNA". It matches the Rfam family "Bacterial small subunit ribosomal RNA", at positions 30 to 523 of the family's 1533-position model. The record is from RNAcentral.